AAGUCGUAACAAGGUUUCCGUAGGUGAACCUGCGGAAGGAUCAUUAAUGAUUGGCCGAAAGGCCUUAUCUAUCCUUCAUACCUCUGUGAACCGUUGGCCCUCGGGCCGUUUUUACAAAACACUGUGUAAUGAACGUCAAACAUAUUAAACAAAACAAAA
This 159-nucleotide unclassified non-coding RNA is filed under the name plant metagenome. RNAcentral describes it as "partial contains small subunit ribosomal RNA and internal transcribed spacer 1". The stretch from base 1 to 46 matches the Rfam family "Eukaryotic small subunit ribosomal RNA", at positions 1786 to 1831 of the family's 1831-position model. The record is from RNAcentral.